GGUAUGGGAUGAGCUUGCGUCCGAUUAGCUAGUUGGCGGGGCAACGGCCCACCAAGGCGACGAUCGGUAGCCAGCCUGAGAGGGUGAUCGGCCACAUUGGGACUGAGAUACGGCCCAGACUCCUACGGGAGGCGGCAGUAGGGAAUAUUGCACAAUGGGGGAAACCCUGAUGCAGCAACGCCACGUGUGGGAAGAAGCAUUUCGGUGUGUAAACCACUGUCGUGAGGGAAUAAUACGCGUCUUCGGGCGCGGGAGAAUGUACCUUGAAAGGAAGCACCGGCAAACUUCGUGCCAGCAGCCGCGGUAAUACGAGGGGUGCAAGCGUUGUUCGGAAUCACUGGGCGUAAAGGGAGUGUAGGCGGAUGUUCAAGCGGAUUGUACAAUACCGGGGCCCAACCCCGGACCUGCAGUUCGAACUGGACAUCUUGGAUAGUUCAGGGGCAGGC
RNAcentral lists this ribosomal RNA (446 nucleotides) under uncultured bacterium. Its description in RNAcentral is "bacterial SSU rRNA". It matches the Rfam family "Bacterial small subunit ribosomal RNA", at positions 217 to 662 of the family's 1533-position model. The record is from RNAcentral.